ACCAUCAUGCUUUUUAGAGGCCUCUGCUCUGCCAGCCUGGGAGUCAUCUUCACCCUCAGGCUGGUAGACUCCAGUCUCUUAGGUCAGAAUGGGAUUAGAGACCCGUUCCUGAACCAGUCACACACAGCGGGUGAAACUGCUAUGAUUGGUUUAGACUUAGAGACUGGAAUGGAUGCUGGCCUAGAAGCGAAGACACAUAGAAGCAAUGUGUACCUAGACUGUUGUCCUAAAUGCCAUUUCCUACCAGGAAGGAACCAGAGUCUUUGCAGAAAUGUAUCAUUUCACAUCUGGGUAAGGAAAUGUCUGAGAAGGAUCAGAUAUAUUGUGGGUCAGAAAGCAACGGAGCUGUCAAAGUGAACUCAUGCAACGGUAUCAAAAGGAUUCAAAAGAAUUCAGUUGAUAAAAGUCGGUAUAGACCCAUUUCUUCCCACUCUUCCCUGCUAAGUAUAACUGUAACCCCUGAAAAUUACUCAAGAGACAACCAAAGGAGAACUCUAAACACUAGUGGAAGAAGAUUAACUGAUUUGGGACCCUAAGAACAACAUAGUGGCAGGGUGACACUCAUGCCUCCUUUCAAAAGAACAAGGACACCUAGACCCAGUAUUUUCCUACCUCAGCAGAGCAACAGAUGGAAGCCCACGUAGGCUCAUUGCUCUCCUGGAUCCAUCAGCAGCCCCUCUGCAUCAGGCGAGCCCAACACUACCUUUGAGGAGGAAUCAAUUUGGAGACCUAUCAAUAAGCAGUGAGGGGAAUCACUCUCCUUCCUCAAGCAGCACCAGCAAGAACCAGUGGGAGCCCGAGAAACACCAGACAUGUUAAGUAGUCCAAUGUAACACCACAAAGUCUCUGAAAAUUAAACUGCCAUUGGAACCAUAGCCUAAAAAAGUUGGCCAAGACUUACGUAUGUGAUAAAUCUAAACAGGGUGACUGCCACUUAAAAUAAAAGAUUUAAAGAGGACCCCAGAGUCUCUUAACAUACUAGACAAAAUGUUGAGGAUACAGUAGAAAAUUACCCAUCACACCAAGAACCAAGGAAAUGACAACUCGAAUGAGAAAGAAAAUCACCUGACACUGCACUAAGUUCAAUGUUGGAAUUAUCUGACAAGGAUUUUAAAUUAUAUUUGAUCAUUGAAACAAAAAUUAUAACACAAUACUUAAGGUAAUGAUAUUUAAGAGUGAAGAAGAUGGCUUCCUAAACAG
Molecule: long non-coding RNA, 1200 nt
Filed under: Homo sapiens (human)
Lineage: Eukaryota; Metazoa; Chordata; Mammalia; Primates; Hominidae
Description: long intergenic non-protein coding RNA 2207
Source: RNAcentral